Molecule: unclassified non-coding RNA, 289 nt
Filed under: plant metagenome
Description: partial contains small subunit ribosomal RNA, internal transcribed spacer 1, and 5.8S ribosomal RNA
Rfam family: 5.8S ribosomal RNA (bases 241-289)
Source: RNAcentral
UUUCCGUAGGUGAACCUGCGGAAGGAUCAUUAAUGAGUUGUCAUGGGGUUCGAUGCUGGCAGCCAAUUUUUGGAUGCAUGUGCUUGCCCUAACAAUCAUCUUCCAAACACCUGUGCACAUUUUUGAGGGAGUCUUGAGUUGGUUGCCGCUCUUGGGUGAUUUUCUCACAUUCCCUUAAAUCAUUAUACGCUAUUAACAAUGUUGAACGUGCUCUGUGCCGCAAGGCUAUUAAUAUAAUACAACUUUUAACAACGGAUCUCUUGGCUCUCGCAGCGAUGAAGAACGCAGC